Molecule: long non-coding RNA, 1215 nt
Organism: Oncorhynchus tshawytscha (Chinook salmon)
Lineage: Eukaryota; Metazoa; Chordata; Actinopteri; Salmoniformes; Salmonidae
Source: Ensembl
UGUUACAUCAACAUGGACUUUAUUUAUUUCCCAAUCAACACCGUUUCACAUUUUAUACAAAAUCAUGAAUCAUUAGAAAACGUCUGAUCAUGUGACCCCGUCCGUCCAGCCGCUCCGCCUCACCCCAGAGGAUCAUGGGAAGGCAUGUGUCUGACGAGACCCAGUGGACAUGCCCCGCCUUGAUGAUGUCACUACCUGUAGUUUCUGACCAAUCAAAUCAGACAUCACCUCCAGGAAUGUAGGCCUCUAUUGGCUAAACAUCACUCACCCCUAACUACAUCCCUGGUUACACCAUAGAGUUAGAUAGAGGAAUCAUCUUUGUAUCUGUGCCAUUAGAGUCUGUGACAGCACCAUUGAAGUUACAACCCAUUGUAAUCCCCACCCAGUUGACUACUUUAAAAUGGUGGAUGAUGGCAAUGUCCAUGGUAAAACAGGUGAUAUACAUGAUGAGUCCUCUAUCUCUAUGGAUUAAAUUCCUCGCCCAAUCAGACACUGGUCUGACUGAUCUGUCAAUCAAUUUCAUCUGCCAAUGUCUGAAGGCCUCAGCGAGAAGGGGCAAGGCUUGUCCACUGAGCCUUCAUCUGAUUGGGUAGCCAGUGAGCGACUGGGAAGCUAACGUAUGCUAAUGUACAUGCCCAGCACACACAUUUACAGCUCAGCCCACCCACCCACACACACACACACACACACUUCAGAGGUCCUUGUUAGAGCGUUGCGUAGCGUUCUGGUCUUGGCACAUGUACAUGCAAAGCUAAAGAGUCACCUGCACAGGCGGACAGAGGGAGGGAGGGAGGGAGACAGAGGGGGGAGGGAGGGAGACAGAGGAGGGAGAAACAUGUAUACAUCCACAGACAGACAGAGGCGCUGUUGAACGCUGAGAGUUUUUAAUCCCACCCUCCAUGUUACAUGUUCCUAGCAGCACCAGAGGGGCUCUCUGAUUGGUUGCUGUAGCUGUCAGUCAGUCCGUCUCCAGGAUGAGUGGCGGCUGCUCUUCAUUCUCAUCGUCCAAUCGCAGAUCGCUGAGGUCAUCCUCUAGUCCCGCCCCUCCCACGGCACCCGCCUCCUCACAGUAACCUGAGGAGAGGACAUGGGUUAGAGGUCAGGAGUCAGGGUAUCCCACCAGACCAAGUGGGGGGAUACCCUGCUGCUACCAGACCAAGUGGAGGGAUACCCUGCUGCUACCCAGUGGAGGGAUACCCUGCUGCUACCCAGUGG